Molecule: transfer RNA, 71 nt
Filed under: Marmota marmota marmota (Alpine marmot)
Lineage: Eukaryota; Metazoa; Chordata; Mammalia; Rodentia; Sciuridae
Also listed under: 1 other name
Rfam family: tRNA
About the family: Transfer RNA (tRNA) molecules are approximately 80 nucleotides in length. Their secondary structure includes four short double-helical elements and three loops (D, anti-codon, and T loops).
Source: Rfam by way of RNAcentral
GGGGUUGUGGCUCAGUGGUAGAGCUCUUGCCUAGCAUGCACGAGGCACUGGAUUUGAUCCUCAGCACCCCA